Molecule: ribosomal RNA, 497 nt
Filed under: uncultured bacterium
Lineage: Bacteria
Description: partial 16S ribosomal RNA
Rfam family: Bacterial small subunit ribosomal RNA
Source: RNAcentral
GAUGAACGCUGGCGGCGUGCCUAAUACAUGCAAGUCGAGCGAACAGACGAGGAGCUUGCUCCUUUGACGUUAGCGGCGGACGGGUGAGUAACACGUAGGUAACCUACCUAUAAGACUGGGAUAACUUCGGGAAACCGGAGCUAAUACCGGAUAAUAUUUCGAACCGCAUGGUUCGAUAGUGAAAGAUGGCUUUGCUAUCACUUAUAGAUGGACCUGCGCCGUAUUAGCUAGUUGGUAAGGUAACGGCUUACCAAGGCAACGAUACGUAGCCGACCUGAGAGGGUGAUCGGCCACACUGGAACUGAGAAACGGUCCAGACUCCUACGGGAGGCAGCAGUAGGGAAUCUUCCGCAAUGGGCGAAAGCCUGACGGAGCAACGCCGCGUGAGUGAUGAAGGUCUUCGGAUCGUAAAACUCUGUUAUUAGGGAAGAACAAACGUGUAAGUAACUGUGCACGUCUUGACGGUACCUAAUCAGAAAGCCACGGCUAACUACGUG